Molecule: long non-coding RNA, 446 nt
Organism: Zerene cesonia (dogface butterfly)
Lineage: Eukaryota; Metazoa; Arthropoda; Insecta; Lepidoptera; Pieridae
Exons: 2
Source: RefSeq, a predicted model, not a curated record
GUUGAGCUACUACAUAAAAAAUACGUUCAUUUGCAGUCUGCAGAGGCAAGGCCGCUCCAAACACGUUGUCUGCUUUUAAGGGAGAAUUAAUAAGAAAAGGACUGACAACAGGAGCAAAGGAAUGGAUUGAGAAGGGGCAAUGUUACUGAAAGCAUAAGGACAGCGACGCUACCUUUUCUCAACAGAUUUUUUACUACAAAUUCAAGCUAUUGAGUGUCUCAGACGCGGGAAGUGCGUAGAAGUAGAUAAAAUUGAUCAAAAAUAUAUUUAGGAAAGUAAAAAUCACGCUUUAUUAACAAAUCAACUAAAUUGUCUCACUUGCUCGUAAAAUAAAAUAUCAAUACUUUUACUUUACAUAAUAUUAAAUGUACAGAAUUAGUCAUUUAAAACUCAUAACAGGAUUAUAGAAAAUAUAUUAAGUACACACAAUAAAACUCAUACAUUAG